This is a long non-coding RNA of Cryptotermes secundus, 1258 nucleotides long. RefSeq lists it as uncharacterized. The transcript is spliced from 3 exons. Lineage: Eukaryota; Metazoa; Arthropoda; Insecta; Blattodea; Kalotermitidae. The record is from RefSeq and is a predicted model, not a curated record.
AUCCUACUCUGAGAAACUUCAUAGAGAAGGCUUUGAUUAGGUCAGUUUUGACUCAUGCCUGUCCUGCCUGGGAGUAUGUGGCAGACACUCACUUUCUGAAAAUACAAUGCCUGCAGAACAGAGUAUGCCACACUACUGGAAAUCGUUAAGAGGUGCACACCAGUCCACAAUUUGCAUUUUCAGCAGAGUCAGAAGGUCUUGGAGAAUUUGAGAGCUGACAGCUUGGAACAGUUAUAACUUAGGAGUGGGAGGGCUGGAGCCUCAUCCCCUGAUCUUAAUACAUCAAGUCGCUGUCAUGUCAGCAACUGCCAGGAUCAUACAGCAAAGCAACAUGAUAAUUUACGGAACCUCCUAGUUUUCAAACAAAACCAAUGGCACAUGUUGGAGGAGUGAAUUUCUCUUGGAGUCUGUGGUUCGUGGACCUCAGGAUUCUGAGAGAGGGUAUUCUACCUCAAGAGUCUUCGUUCAACUUUCAGCCAAGUCAGACACAAAAACACAACCACGUCACUUCGCUAGAGGAAGUGAAAGUUCAAUCCAAAUAAGUGUAACUAUUUGAGUUUCUGUUGUGUUCAGUGAGCUGAAGUGAAUUAAAUAGUUACUGAAGUGCAAAAGUCUUGAAGUGGUGUAUGUGAUUGUAGCAUAAGGAUCUUCCUGCCCUGCCCGAGCUAGGCUUGUAAGACCCCGGGAUAAGAACUCAUCUCUACACAUUACAGAGCAGAACCCAGCUACUCCCUUCUUUCCCUACUUGCAAGACACCUAAUGGUAGUACAGGAACAAACUCUGACCUACCAGCACCAGCAACCACAAUUCUCCUCCCUUCCUGCCAAACUUCUCGCCAUCCACGAGAAGAGGAAGGAGGGCAGUAACUCCAGUAGAGGUGUCCAGACACAAGGUGCAGGUGAACCGCAGCACAGGGAAAGGAAGGGAUACAGGUAAAAGAACUAAUUACCGACAUAAAGACAGGCAAAAUGGCAGUCACGAGUGGAGCACAACGUAAAAGGAGAUGGGAACGGUCACAAGUGGUGCCGAACAUAAGGGUGAGAAGAGUGGAUACAGAAUCUUCCUGGGGGCUAAAGUGCAGCCAGCGCUUAAGGCUGACAACCCUAUUGCCAUCAGUGAGCCGACUGUCUAGAUAAUGUGGGACCCUCAAUGUUAUAGGGAUAGCUUUACCAUUACCAUGCAAGUUUCUUCAUCAGCUGAUAAUUUGUUAACUCUUUGACUGGCGCGAAGGGUAUUUAAAUCCCACCCCUGUGCUGGC